Molecule: long non-coding RNA, 2396 nt
Organism: Silurus meridionalis
Lineage: Eukaryota; Metazoa; Chordata; Actinopteri; Siluriformes; Siluridae
Exons: 2
Source: RefSeq, a predicted model, not a curated record
GGAAAACCUCUUUAAGAAUUAAGUUUCGUUUGGGCAUGAUAAAAAUCUAACAGUUUUGGUGUCAGAAGUGGGAUACUUUCCGGCAAUAUCCGAAGGGAGAUCACGCAUCAAGGUUAAAAACUCUGAAACAAAAAUACCAUGAUGCAGAGAGAGAGGUGGACAGGGCAGAUGUACACACAGAAGAGGAGAGUGUACAAGAAGUGCAAGACCUUCAACAAGUGAACAAUGACAUAAGAAUAAAGCUUAAUGCAGAGCGAGAAGAAGUGCACAUCCGAAACUGGAUAAUAAACGAUCUAAUUGAGCAACUACAUCGGCUCCAAGUUGCUCAGCAAGGGCCAGCAGGCGGCAGCCAGAUUCCCCAAGACCACCAUGAGGAACACCAAGACCCUAAUGAGGGCCACUAAUCCCACAGCCAGACUUUUUAAACCCUGACACAAUACCCCAAGCAAGAGCCAACAAGCAUGCAUCAAAAAUUACUAACCUCCCUGCUAAAUUUACCAGGUCCUCAGCCAGUGCCACAAAGCCUGCAUCUACAUCCUCCAAAUCAUGCAGCCAGAGCCACCAAGCCACCAUCAAGAGCCAAUAAACCCACAUCCAGAGCUACCAAGCACUCAACCAGAGCCACCUAACUCAGCAGUAAGAGCCACAAAGCAGCAGCCAGAUCCACCAAGUCCACAGUAAAGCUCAGCAAGCCCCCUUUGAGGUUUAAAAAAAAACACAGCCAGAUCCAUCAAACCCUAAAGCCAGAGCCACCAAGUGUUCAACAAGUACUAAACCUCCGGGUAGGUCCACCAAGUCCUCAACCAGUUCAUCCAGUUUUGCCCGACUCAGCCCUAAAGUAUGCAGCUCCUGGUCUAACAAUAAGUCUACUAGGAUGCGGAAAUGUGCCCACACCACAUCCUCAUGUGACUUGGAACCAGGCCCUGUGAAAGCAAGUUUUAUUGGUUUUAAAAUGAAACACUCUAAAUAAUGGGCUUAUUGCAGCAGGAAAAGAACUACACAUCAGAGACAAGACGAAAAACAGCCUGAGUGAGCAGUUACAGAUCCUGUAAGUUGUGCAUCAAGGGCCACAAAGCCAACCAGAGCCACCAAACCCUCAGCUAGACCCAUCAAGCCUGCAUCACUUACCACAAAUCCCUCAGGCAGAAGCUCCAGAACCACAAGAACCAAAGGCUUGCUCCAGAACCUCCAAGUCACAGCCAGAUCCACCAAUCCCUUGUUGAGGCCAAAUAAGCCCCCAGCCAGAACCACCAUGCUCCCAGUCAGAGCCACCUAUUUCCCACUAAGAGCAACCCAACCCACAGCCAGAGCGUCCUAGCCCCAACUGAGGGACACCAAAACCCCAGCCAGAGCCACAAAGUUUGCAUUGAAAACCCUAUUGAGACACUUAAAAUAAAAUAGACAUUUAAAGAAUAGAUUUUUCUCCCUGAACUACAAAGAAAGAUUUGCAGCUUCCAGGCCCAGGAACUCUUAAAGACCUGAUCUGUGGAGACCUGCACAUCCUACAACAACUGACAUUACAGAUAAGCUGCUACACCUCCCUACAGAUCAGUGCAACAGCAGCAGCAGCUUUGUGGUGACAGAGCAGCACAUUUUAAAGACGUGAAUCAAACACAGUAAUUAGAUACAGGUAUUCCAUGACUUACAAUGAAAAUGCAUUCUGAUGACCUCAUUGUAACUUGUCAAGACAGGGCUAACCUACCCAGGAGUCUUAAAGAAUGGAGAUCAAUAUGGGGUUAAUAAUUUAACAAAUUACAGCACAUAAUCUAACAAAACAGAGCAAUUUACAACACCAUAAUUAUUUAACUUCAUCGUCCUCGUAGAGAUGAGCAUUUCAAUACCUCACAUGCCUGAUGUUGCUCUCGUUUUCCAAGGGUGUGCCAUCACAUCACGCAACAUCUGACUCCCCUCGCCGUGAUGAGUGUUUAGAUGUGGCACACGCCCUUGUCGUCAAGUUUUGCCGUUUCGCAUUUUCGUGCCCAUGAGACGUCAUGCGUCAGUGUGACCUGCUACCCACCCCGGAAGAGUGGACAUGUCGUACUGACAUGCCAGUGGAAUGCCAGCCAAACUGCAGUGUGUCUAAUUUUCCCAUUUAUUUCUUUGGGGGCCGGAAUUUCCCAGAAUUCCAAAUGGGUCUCAGGUUCGAGGGGGCAUAUAGUCACGACCCUGCUGCAUGUGCAUUUCAAGACCGAGCUGUGACACAUGAGUUUUCUGCCCGAUUCAUAUUCUAUGAGGAGAAAAUUUAACCUUUUGGUCAAGUGAUCAUUAAUUGUUGGGGCAAAUCUUUAGAAAAGUAAUAGCACACUUCCCCCAACGGGCCACAUGAUUUAAGGUCUCAUUUAUGGUGCUGACACGAAAGCUGCAGGACUGAUGAUGCAAAGAAAUUUUGUCUGAAA